GAUGAACGCUGGCGGCGUGCCUAACACAUGCAAGUCGAGCGAACGGACGAGAAGCUUGCUUUUCUGUCGUUAGCGGCGGACGGGUGAGUAACACGUGGAUAACCUACUUAUAAGACUGGGAUAACUUCGGGACACCGGAGCUAACACCGGAUAAUAUCUUGAACCGCAUGGUUCAAAAGUGAAAGACGGUCUUGCUGUCACUUAUAGAUGGAUCUGCGCUGCAUUGGCUGGUUGGUAAGGUAACGGCUUACCAAGGCGACGAUGCAUAGCCGAGGUGAGAGAGUGGUCGGCCACACUGGAGCGGAGACGGCGACCAGGCUCCUACGAGAGGCAGCAGUAGGGUAUGGUCCGCAGUGGGCGGGAGCAUGACAGAGCGACGCGGCGUGAGUGGUGGCGGUCUUCGGAUCGUGAAGCUCUGUUAUGGGGUAAGAACAUAUGUGUAAGUUACUGUACACAUCUUGACGGUACCUGGUCAGGAAGCCACGGCUAACUACGUG
RNAcentral lists this ribosomal RNA (497 nucleotides) under uncultured bacterium. RNAcentral's name for it is "partial 16S ribosomal RNA". It matches the Rfam family "Bacterial small subunit ribosomal RNA", at positions 28 to 507 of the family's 1533-position model. The record is from RNAcentral.